CCUACGGGUGGCAGCAGUGAGGAAUAUUGGUCAAUGGACGCGAGCCUGAACCAGCCAUGUCGCGUGAAGGAAGACGGCUCUAUGAGUUGUAAACUUCUUUUAUACGAGGAUAAACGCAGGUACGCGUACCUUUUUGAAUGUACUUUAUGAAUAAGGAUCGGCUAACUCCGUGCCAGCAGCCGCGGUAAUACGGAGGAUUCGAGCGUUAUCCGGAUUUAUUGGGUUUAAAGGGUGCGUAGACGGGUUGUUAAGUUAGGUGUGAAAUUUUGCGGCUCAACCUCAGAAUUGCCUUUGAUACUGGCAGCCUUGAGUGCAGUUGCGGUAGGCGGAAUGUGUGGUGUAGCGGUGAAAUGCUUAGAGAUCACAAAGAACACCGAUUGCGAAGGCAGCUUACCAAGCUACCACUGACAUUGAGGCACGAAAGUGUGGGUAUCAAACAGGAUUAGAUACCCUAGUAGUC
Molecule: ribosomal RNA, 460 nt
Filed under: uncultured bacterium
Lineage: Bacteria
Description: partial 16S ribosomal RNA
Rfam family: Bacterial small subunit ribosomal RNA
Source: RNAcentral